RNAcentral lists this ribosomal RNA (427 nucleotides) under uncultured bacterium. RNAcentral's name for it is "bacterial SSU rRNA". It matches the Rfam family "Bacterial small subunit ribosomal RNA", at positions 355 to 774 of the family's 1533-position model. The record is from RNAcentral.
UGGGGAAUUUUGGACAAUGGGCGAAAGCCUGAUCCAGCCAUGCCGCGUGAGUGAAGAAGGCCUUCGGGUUGUAAAGCUCUUUUAGUCGGAAAGAAAGAGUUGCAAUGAAUAAUUGUGAUUUAUGACGGUACCGACAGAAAAAGCACCGGCUAACUACGUGCCAGCAGCCGCGGUAAUACGUAGGGUGCGAGCGUUAAUCGGAAUUACUGGGCGUAAAGGGUGCGCAGGCGGUCUUGCAAGUCAGAUGUGAAAGCCCCGGGCUUAACCUGGGAAUUGCGUUUGAAACUACAAGGCUAGAGUGCAGCAGAGGGGAGUAGAAUUCCAUGUGUAGCAGUGAAAUGCGUAGAGAUGUGGAAGAACACCGAUGGCGAAGGCAGCUCCCUGGGUUGACACUGACGCUCAUGCACGAAAGCGUGGGGAGCAAGCA